This 253-nucleotide ribosomal RNA is filed under the name uncultured bacterium. RNAcentral's name for it is "partial 16S ribosomal RNA". It matches the Rfam family "Bacterial small subunit ribosomal RNA", at positions 524 to 776 of the family's 1533-position model. The record is from RNAcentral.
UACGAAGGGGGCUAGCGUUGUUCGGAAUUACUGGGCGUAAAGGGCCAGUAGGCGGCCAACUAAGUCCGACGUGAAAUCCCCAGGCUCAACUUGGGAACUGCGUCGGAUACUGGAUGGCUUGAAUUCGGGAGAGGGAUGCAGAAUUCCAGGUGUAGCGGUGAAAUGCGCAGAUAUCAGGAGGAACACCGGUGGCGAAGGCGGUUCUCUGGGCAUUACCUGACGCUGAGGAGCGAAAGUGUGGGGAGCGAACAGG